GAUGAAGAACGCAGCGAAAUGCGAUAAGUAAUGUGAAUUGCAGAAUUCAGUGAAUCAUCGAAUCUUUGAACGCACAUUGCGCCCGCCAGUAUUCUGGCGGGCAUGCCUGUUCGAGCGUCAUUACAACCCUCAGGCCCCCGGGCCUGGCGUUGGGGAUCGGCGGAAGCCCCCUGUGGGCACACGCCGUCCCUCAAAUACAGUGGCGGUCCCGCCGCAGCUUCCAUUGCGAAGUAGCUAACACCUCGCAACUGGAGAGCGGCGCGGCCAUGCCGUAAAACACCCAACUUCUGAAUGUUGACCUCGAAUCAGGUAGGAAUACCCGCUGAACUUAAGCAUAUCAAUAAGCGGAGGA
This 352-nucleotide unclassified non-coding RNA is filed under the name soil metagenome. Its description in RNAcentral is "partial contains 5.8S ribosomal RNA, internal transcribed spacer 2, and large subunit ribosomal RNA". The stretch from base 1 to 120 matches the Rfam family "5.8S ribosomal RNA", at positions 35 to 154 of the family's 154-position model. The record is from RNAcentral.